AUGGCUGAGGGGAAUGAGAAUCGACCAACUCCAUGGCCAUCAUUUCAAAUCGGCGUGCCAUCAAAGGACAAGGAUGAUUCAUGUUUUAGUGAGAAGUUAUUUCAUGAAGGUAAAAAGUGGCUUUCAGAACUAUGUGAUUGCUCUAUUACUAUGGCUCCUCCAGUGCAGCAUUUGAAUCUAGCUAUCACGACUGCACAUCUACUUCUGAGCAUGCAGAAAAUGGUUGCUCUAAGCACCGAACGUUCAAGCAAAAAAAUUCUUCAGUUCAUGCAAUUUGGGCCCUAUGAACUAGUCUGCUACAAGCUUCAGGGUCCGAUUUCCAGUUUGUUUGCUAGUGUUGUUGUUCAGACUGUAUUCUCUGCAUAUACUACUGAUUCACUUCUUCCGUGGGAAUUCGGUAGAUGUACAAUCAUGGGAAGGGCAACAAAAUGCAGUGGAGGAUACACUGUGCAAUUUGAGCCACGGCAUGUGUUCAAGUUCAGUCAAGAGACUAUCCAGCUGAAGCCACCUUGGCCAUCAUUUUCAUGCGAUUGCCGAGCAGUGCAGGUCUUGAGCAUGUCAAUGCGUUGGAAAUUUUUGAGCAUUGCAGAUCUGAGAGCAUCCUGGACGCAUCUAUUAAGGGUGCACCUGACAUCAUGUUCCGGGAAGAAGGUUGUUUGA
This 660-nucleotide ribosomal RNA is filed under the name Triticum aestivum (bread wheat). RNAcentral's name for it is "partial small subunit ribosomal RNA". Lineage: Eukaryota; Viridiplantae; Streptophyta; Magnoliopsida; Poales; Poaceae. The record is from RNAcentral.